AUAUAAAAGUCGCGCACUUGAUACGUCAUGUCCUCUUGAUAUCGACGUCUCUGUAGGAAGACGUGUCUCAGAAUAUGAGGGCUAAGUGGAGGAAGAAACGUAUGCGCAGGCUGAAGCGCAAGAGGCGAAAGAUGAGGCAGAGGUCUAAGUAAACCACCCUAACCCUCACCACAGUCAGCCUGCGGCUGCAGUACAUGCUGGCUUUCCAGAUGAGCCUGGGAUGGACUGGCACUAAUUGCAGCUCUGAAGGAAUGGCUCACUGCCGAAAAUACAACAUAUUUUGUAUGUUGAAAUAUCCAUAUGAAUCCGUGUAAACGCAAAGCCAUCUCUUGUUUGUAUUAACAGACUUAUGGUCCUCCUUAGACGUGUCUCAGAAUAUGAGGGCUAAUGGCUCACUGCUGACAGCAGACAGUGUGUGGAGUAACUCUCGGGAUGUUCUGAAAUACAGUUUUUAUUUAGCAAUUUGAAUUAAAAAAUGUUCAGUUGUGCAA
Long non-coding RNA from Brienomyrus brachyistius, 491 nucleotides. RefSeq lists it as uncharacterized. Lineage: Eukaryota; Metazoa; Chordata; Actinopteri; Osteoglossiformes; Mormyridae. The transcript is spliced from 4 exons. The record is from RefSeq and is a predicted model, not a curated record.